GACGUAGGGCGCGAGCGUUGUCCGGAUUUAUUGGGCGUAAAGAGCUCGUAGGCGGCUUGUUGCGUCAGCUGUGAAAACCCGCAGCUCAACUGUGGGCUGGCAGCUGAUACGGGCAGGCUAGAGUUCGGUAGGGGAGACUGGAAUUCCUGGUGUAGCGGUGAAAUGCGCAGAUAUCAGGAGGAACACCGGUGGCGAAGGCGGGUCUCUGGGCCGAUACUGACGCUGAGGAGCGAAAGCGUGAGGAGCGAACAGG
RNAcentral lists this ribosomal RNA (253 nucleotides) under uncultured bacterium. RNAcentral describes it as "partial 16S ribosomal RNA". It matches the Rfam family "Bacterial small subunit ribosomal RNA", at positions 524 to 776 of the family's 1533-position model. The record is from RNAcentral.